RNAcentral lists this ribosomal RNA (426 nucleotides) under Triticum aestivum (bread wheat). RNAcentral describes it as "partial small subunit ribosomal RNA". The record is from RNAcentral. Lineage: Eukaryota; Viridiplantae; Streptophyta; Magnoliopsida; Poales; Poaceae.
AUGAAGAUUAUAUUAUCUAAUCAGCAACUGAUCUGGUACAAUAAAGAAGCAGCAAAUGAGCUAGAAAAAAUCAAUCUGGAGAUGAAUAAAUCCGGCAUCUUGAUGUUUCAUAUCUAUUGGUUCCUUGUUUGGCAGCCUAUGUUGGUAGAUGUGAGAGCUCCAAAUAUGGAAGCAGCCAGCGUGCGAAAGAUUAAAGGAUGCAUUGCUACAGUGAAAACAUUCAGUGGGCGACCAACGACCAGAAUGUCAUUGCUUUUAUCAUGGCAUCCAACACUUGCAGAUGUGACACAAAAGGGGGUUCUGAAGCUGAUGAACUUGGAUGGCCUGACAGUCUACAAUACCAACGACCAUGUCCAAGUACACGAACUUGAAAACUUUCUAAGAUUCGUACACACCUUCAGGUACAGAUGCUUGGUUUUUCUCUAG